This 1023-nucleotide long non-coding RNA is filed under the name Anas zonorhyncha (Eastern spot-billed duck). RNAcentral's name for it is "lncRNA (ENSAZOG00000016635.1)". The record is from RNAcentral. Lineage: Eukaryota; Metazoa; Chordata; Aves; Anseriformes; Anatidae.
AUGAAGUCCACCGAGAAGCCCUCGGGAGAGAAAGCACCCAGGGGAGGGAGGCAGCAGCUGUGUGAGAGCAGCGGGAGCCAAGCAAACGCUGCUGCCUUCAGGAAGGGAAAGCUCAGCAGGAGGAAACGCUGCAGAGCUGUGCAGCAACGGCCUGAAACCCGUCCCACCACGGGAGGCUGCUGCUGUGCCCAGGAGAGCAGGCAGAGCCCUGCACGUACCUCCACACCCGGGCUCGCUGCGGCGCCGGCCGUUUCCACAGGCUCCUGGGGGGCUGAGGUGCUGUGGGGUGGGGACCCAGCACCUGCUGCGGCCUCGGGGACGCUUUGGCUGCACGGCUCUACCUGCACAAAGCAUUUCAAGUGCGCUUCAGAGUCCACAGAGGGCUGUCAGUAUGGGGAAAAUGGGAAAAGGUUUGUGGAGAGGACCACAAAAAUCCCACCCCCUCCACGGCACUGCAGCAGGGCAGAAAGAGGAGAUGGAUGCAGCAGCUCGUACCUGCUCCAAGUCCUCCGCCGUCCUGGUACAGGUGUUCUCUGGCAGGGCUGGCUCCGUUUUCAAAGCAGAGGGGCCCGGGCUCUGGCUGCCUGCAGCUUUCUGCCUGUCUUCUGGCUCAACCUGGGUGCAGGGAAUGGCGUAAGGCAGGGACGUUCAUCCCUCCUGGGGAAGGGGACAGGCAGGGUGCUAAAACCCCAAGGAAAGCAGGGGCUUUGCAGCCCCAGAGAAGCCAGGAAAACAUCCCACAGUCUGUCAGAGCCAGCGAGGCAGAAAGGGCUGGGUGAGAGAAGCGAGGUGUUACACGGGAUGAAGGGAUCCUCUGAGGGUGCAAGCAGCCCCAUACUCCUACCAGCCUUGCUCCAGCUGCUGGCUCCUGCUCCACAGCCUGAGGAUCAGCGGCUGGGCUCUUCUGCGGGGAGGCUGCUGGCCCGGAGGGCUCCGGCACCUUUCCGCUGGUUGCCGGCAGGCCCUGGGGGAAAUCACCUUGCUCAGGGACACGGCAGCACCACGAGAGCUACGUGGCCAUGA